UGAAUACGAGACGCUAAGGCGUCGAAGUAGUGUAUGUCAUACUUCCAAGAAAAGCUUGCACUGUCAUAGAUAAAAAACGCCUGUACCAUAACCGACACAGGUGGGUAGGUAGAGUAUACUAAGGGGCGCGAGAUAACUCUCUCUAAGGAACUCGGCAAAAUAACUCCGUAACUUCGGGAGAAGGAGUGCCUUAUUCUUAAAGUUGCAAUAACAAGAUCCAAGCAACUGUUUAUCAAAAACACGGGUCUCCGCUAAGUCGUAAGACGAUGUAUGGGGGCUGACGCCUGCCCAGUGCCAGAAGGUUAAAGAAACUGGUUAGCAUUUGCGAAGCUAGUAACUGAAGCCCUGGUGAACGGCAGCCGUAACUAUAACGGUCCUAAGGUAGCGAAAUUCCUUGUCGGGUAAGUUCCGACCCGCACGAAAGGCGUAAUGAUUUGGAUACUGUCUCGGAGAGGGGCUCGGUGAAAUAGACUUGUCUGUGAAGAUGCGGACUACCUGCACCAGGACAGAAAGACCCUAUGAAGCUUUACUGUAACUUGAAAUUGAAAUUGGACUUUAUUCGCGCAGUAUAGGUGGGAGGCGUUGAUUAUAAUCUUGCGGGAUUAUUGGAGCCAUUAGUGAGAUACCACUCUUGUAAUGUUAGAUUUCUAACUUUGAAUCAUUAUCUGGUCAAAGAACAGUUUCAGGCGGGCAGUUUGACUGGGGCGGUCGCCUCCUAAACGGUAACGGAGGCGUACAAAGGUUUCCUCUGAACGGUUAGAAAUCGUAUCUAGAGUGUAAAGGCAUAAGGAAGCUUGACUGUGAGACCUACAAGUCGAGCAGGGACGAAAGUCGGUCUUAGUGAUCUGACGGUACUGAGUGGAAAGGCCGUCACUCAACGGAUAAAAGUUACUCUAGGAUAACAGGCUGAUCUCCCCCAAGAGUACACAUCGACGGGGAGGUUUGGCACCUCGAUGUCGACUCAUCGCAUCCUGGGGCGGUAGUACGUCCCAAGGGUUGGGCUGUUCGCCCAUGAAAGCGGUACGCGAGCUGGGUUCAGAACGUCGUGAGACAGUUCGGUCCAUAUCCGGUGUAGGCGUUAGAUUAUUGAGAGGAGCCUUCUUUAGUACGAGAGGACCGAGAAGGACAUACCUCUGGUGUACCAGUUAUCGUGCCAACGGUAAACGCUGGGUAGCUAUGUAUGGAGUGGAUAACCGCUGAAAGCAUCUAAGUGGGAAGCCCACCUCAAGAUAAGUAUUCUCA
This 1242-nucleotide ribosomal RNA is filed under the name metagenome. Its description in RNAcentral is "bacterial LSU rRNA". It matches the Rfam family "Bacterial large subunit ribosomal RNA", at positions 1564 to 2816 of the family's 2925-position model. The record is from RNAcentral.